RNAcentral lists this long non-coding RNA (1005 nucleotides) under Homo sapiens (human). RNAcentral describes it as "non-protein coding lnc-METTL22-2:4". The record is from RNAcentral. Lineage: Eukaryota; Metazoa; Chordata; Mammalia; Primates; Hominidae.
UUUUCUCUGUUGGAGUGCCUUCAUUUACAAAGCAUAUUUUUCAAGUCUUUUGCUAAGAGUAAUGCCAUGGAGCAGCCUCCCAUCAUUCUUGUUAAUAGGACUGUCUGUGUGUUACAGUAAACAGCUAUAACUCUUCUGUUGGAGCCGUUGUGCAGCAGGCAGAGUUUGUUCAGUAUCCAAUUAAGGGUGUCUCCAAUUUGCCAGCCAGGAUCAUGAGAGCUGUGACUCAGCCAUCAGGCAACCUGGGCAUUGUGGAGGCUUCUCAAAGUAGAGAGGGCUGAUGCCCUUCCUCCUCCGCAGCAAGGGGACUGGAGCCUGGCUCUAGACGAUCUCUGUUUUGUUUUGUUUUGUUUUGUUUUGUUUUGUUUUGUUUUGUUUUUACAUGGAGUUUCGCUCUUGUUGCCCAGGCUGGAGCAUAGUGGUGCGAUCUUGGCUCACGGCAACCUCUGCCUCACGGGUUCAAGUGAUUUUCCUGCCUCAGCCUCCCAAGUAGCUGGGAUUACAAGAGUGUGCCACCACGCCUAGCUAAUCUUGCAUUUUCAGUGGAGACAGGGUUUCAACAUGUUGGUCAGGCUGGUCUCAAACUCCUGACCUCAAGUGAUUCAGCCGCCUCGCCUCCCAAAGUGCUGGGAUUACAGGUGUGAGGCACCACAUCCGACCUCUGCUCUUCCUCAAAGGCCACCAAAUCAUGCCAGCUAACUGUGCAAAGAUGUUAGCCUGAUAGUCAAAGCUCUUCCCAGACUCUUAUAAACAUAGAAGAACAUAGCGGUUAAGAACAUGAGCUCUGCAGCAGGAUUACACGGAUUCCAAUCUCAGCUCAGCCACAUACUAGCUGUGUGAUGUUGGAUGAGAACAUUGAGGCCUAGGGCAUUUCAAUAGCUUGCCAAAGGGCUCAUCAUUCUCGGGUAACAGGAUGAGGCCAGACACCAAGGAUCCCUGGAUCCAUGCCCUACUCUCCACACUUGUCUUGGGUCUAUGAAGCCCCCAGUCCCAAGGUAAGUCAUG